CCUACGGGUGGCAGCAGUGAGGAAUAUUGGUCAAUGGGCGCUACCCUGAACCAGCCAAGUAGCGUGAAGGAUGACUGCUCUAUGGGUUGUAAACUUCUUUUAUAUGGGAAUAAAGUGCAGUAUGUAUACUGUUUUGCACGUACCUUACGAAUACGGAUCGGCUAAUUCCGUGCCAGCAGCAGCGGUAAUACGGAGGAUUCAAGCGUUAUCCGGAUUUAUUGGGUUUAAAGGGUGCGUAGGCGGGUCGUUAAGUGAGACGUGAAAUCCCGGGGCUCAACUCGUGUACUGCAUCUGAUACUGUCGGGCUAGAGUUUAGUGGAGGUAGGCGGAAUGUAUGGUGUAGCGGUGAAAUGCAUAGAGAUCAUACAGAACACCGAUUGCGAAGGCGGCUUACCAGACUACAACUGACGUUGAGGCACGAAAGCGUGGGGAGCAAACAGGAUUAGAUACCCGUGUAGUC
RNAcentral lists this ribosomal RNA (460 nucleotides) under uncultured bacterium. RNAcentral's name for it is "partial 16S ribosomal RNA". It matches the Rfam family "Bacterial small subunit ribosomal RNA", at positions 338 to 795 of the family's 1533-position model. The record is from RNAcentral.